This 253-nucleotide ribosomal RNA is filed under the name uncultured bacterium. RNAcentral describes it as "partial 16S ribosomal RNA". It matches the Rfam family "Bacterial small subunit ribosomal RNA", at positions 524 to 776 of the family's 1533-position model. The record is from RNAcentral.
UACAGAGGGUGCGAGCGUUGUCCGGAAUCACUGGGCGUAAAGGGCGCGUAGGCGGUUUGGCAAGUCUAUGGUGAAAGCUCGCCGCUCAACGGCGAGUCGGCCACGGAUACUGCUGAACUGGAGCACUGUAGAGGCAGGUGGAAUUCCGGGUGUAGCGGUGGAAUGCGUAGAGAUCCGGAAGAACACCGGUGGCGAAGGCGGCCUGCUGGGCAGUAGCUGACGCUGAGGCGCGACAGCAUGGGUAGCAAACAGG